UUGUAUUUGGAUUACACACGAGGGGUUCGAUGUUUUGGUGAUGACAUUGAACAUCGUUUUUUUUUUAAAUUGUAAUUUGUGAGUUUGUGUGUGUUUUGUCACGAAAUUGCCAAAGGGGGAGAUUGUUAGGUCCUAUGUGUUGGCAAGUUUCGUGGGUCGAGUCGGAGUCUUGAAGAAGUUCGGAGCGGAGUAUUGAAGAUCGAAGAAUUCAAGACUUCGAAGAAUCGGAAAGGACGCAAAACACGUAAAACAUGAAUCCCGAUGCGUAGGUAAGUUUUAAAUCUUGUUUAUGGUAAUUCAUACUUAUUUAUAGAUCUUAGAAUCAUAUUUUCAAGUUGUAAUUGAUUAAAAAAUUUCUAAGAGCUUGUAAAAUCCGAAACAAUGCAUUUUCAGCGAAAAUCGCAUUGUUGUACCGGUACAAGAGUUUUCUGUCCAGGGUACAGCCAUCAGCAUUUGUGCAGGAAGUUUGAUGGUUGUUCCGGUACAAGCUUCAUGCUGUACCGGCUGAAGCUAUCCAGGGUACAGGAGCUUCGCAGAAAAAUCUUCCGUCAUGGUGUACCCUGGACAGCUUUUCUUGUUUCGGUACAAGGUGCUGAUUUUGGAAAGAAACUUUCUAAUACUAGUCUGUUUUGAUUCUAAAGUCUAUAAAUAAGCUAGAGGGGUUCUCUAACUGAUUAAGUAUCACGAAAAUACAUAUUUGAGAAACCUUAGAGGCUCGGAUUUCAUCAAAAAUCUAUUUUCUACAAAAAGCCUCUUUUAGAUCAAAUCGAGAUAUUGAAAUUUGAUAUUAAUAUGUCGAUUUGAUCUCCGCUUUGCUUGGAGUUCUAUU
RNAcentral lists this long non-coding RNA (829 nucleotides) under Ananas comosus (pineapple). RNAcentral's name for it is "long non-coding RNA (ACOM_LNC021164)". Lineage: Eukaryota; Viridiplantae; Streptophyta; Magnoliopsida; Poales; Bromeliaceae. The record is from RNAcentral.